This 460-nucleotide ribosomal RNA is filed under the name uncultured bacterium. Its description in RNAcentral is "partial 16S ribosomal RNA". It matches the Rfam family "Bacterial small subunit ribosomal RNA", at positions 338 to 795 of the family's 1533-position model. The record is from RNAcentral.
CCUACGGGAGGCAGCAGUGAGGAAUAUUGGUCAAUGGACGAGAGUCUGAACCAGCCAAGUAGCGUGAAGGAUGACUGCCCUAUGGGUUGUAAACUUCUUUUAUAUGGGAAUAAAAUGUUCCACGUGUGGGAUUUUGUAUGUACCAUAUGAAUAAGGAUCGGCUAACUCCGUGCCAGCAGCCGCGGUAAUACGGAGGAUCCGAGCGUUAUCCGGAUUUAUUGGGUUUAAAGGGAGCGUAGAUGGGUUGUUAAGUCAGUUGUGAAAGUUGGCGGCUCAACCGUAAAAUUGCAAUUGAUACUGGAAGUCUUGAGGACAGUUGAGGUAGGCGGAAUUCGUGGUGGAGCGGUGAAAUGAUUAGAUAGCACGAAGAACUCCGAUUGCGAAGGCAGCUUACUAACCUGCCACUGACAUUGAUGCUCGAAAGUGUGGGUAUCAAACAGGAUUAGAUACCCUUGUAGUC